GGCAAACCGUGCAUAAGCCGCUCUGGGGCUCACCACUGAACACGGGCAACCUUGUGAGACUGCACGCCUAUGCGCUGUGACCUGCGGCCAGAGAGGAGCGGCCAAGUGCAGAAGUGGAAGAAAAAGAGAAAAGAGACCACCUUCCCUUGGCCAAGAUUCUUAGAGUGAGAGCAAGAGGCUCUGAUGAAGCAAUAGUUGAGCUCUCAGCUACUAACCAGAAGGUCAGUGGUUCAAAUGCACCAACUGCGCCAUGGAAGAAACAUGUGAGUCUUGUUGCUGUAAAGAUUUAUGACCUUGGAAACCCGCUGGUGGUGACCUACCCUGUCAUUGGGUCUUCAUGCGUCAGGAUCAACUCAGCAGCAACAGGUUUCCGCAUCCCAGGACCCGCUGACCUAACACAGACAAGGCGCACAUCCUGAAAGUCUCCACUGCUCUUCCUGCAGUCAGGGAUGGAGCAGUCUAAUGCUGCCCCACGCCCACCUCAGCAUUACAUGUGUAGACUUUCAGUGAGGCCCCUGGGUGAGUCACCCCCAGCCAGUUCAGAUGGGGUGUCAAGUGCUGUCCCUGAGACAGACGUCUGCAGUCGGGAUUCCUCAGGAACUUGGCGACUCUGCUCCCCUCACUGGUCUGGUGUGCUCCCCUCUUGGUUUGCCCCCAUGUGGCUGGGUCAGACCAGCGACUCGCCCAGAACGGUAUCUCCAGGCCUGUCCUCUGCAGCUCUGGCAUCAGCUGUGAUCUUAUGGGGACUGGUGACCACUGUUUCCUUCGCAGAGAACAGCUAGUGGAUUCAACCCAACGAUGUCCAACAACUUUCUGUUAGCAGCCCAGGACUGCACCCUCGUGCCACUAUGACUCCUUCACAGCGUUAUUACAAGGAUUAAUAAGGCAUUACCUUAUUUCUCCAGUCAGUCGUUUGUGGGUUUAUAUCCACAGUGCCUGAGAUAUACUCUUACCUUGUUCACUUGUUCUUAUACAGUGAACCCUAGUACUCCACCCAUCAGCACCCGACACAAUCGGAUUUCAACACAAAAUGUUGAGAAAAUUUUGCAUCAGAGCUUGAAGAAUGCAGGGGAAUCUGACGCGACCGACUCACGUGAUAUUUGUAAACAAAAGCGGUUCGUAUUUCCUUCGCUCAGUAUUACUUGGUGUUAUCAGUAUGAGUUGUUUAAACCUUUUGCAGCUGUGUUCCAAGCGUUUUGCUAUAACUUUCUUGGUUUUUUGUGGA
Echinops telfairi (small Madagascar hedgehog) is the source of this 1225-nucleotide long non-coding RNA. RefSeq lists it as uncharacterized. The transcript has 3 exons. Lineage: Eukaryota; Metazoa; Chordata; Mammalia; Afrosoricida; Tenrecidae. The record is from RefSeq and is a predicted model, not a curated record.